CCCUUAGAUGUUCUGGGCCGCACGCGCGCUACACUGUUCGACGCAGCGAGUCUUAACCUUGACCGAAAGGUUUGGGUAAUCUUCAGCAAAGUCGAACGUGAUGGGGAUCGAUCAUUGCAAUUAUUGAUCGCGAACGAGGAAUUCCUAGUAAGUGCAAGUCAUCAGCUUGCGCUGAUUACGUCCCUGCCCUUUGUACACACCGCCCGUCGCUACUACCGAUUGAAUGGUUUAGUGAGAUCUCUGGAUUGACGCUGGCUAGGGGGCGACCCUUGGCCAGGCUGUCGAGAAACUGCUCAAACUUGAUCAUUUAGAGGAAGUAAAAGUCGUAACA
RNAcentral lists this ribosomal RNA (331 nucleotides) under uncultured eukaryote. RNAcentral's name for it is "partial 18S ribosomal RNA". It matches the Rfam family "Eukaryotic small subunit ribosomal RNA", at positions 1470 to 1796 of the family's 1831-position model. The record is from RNAcentral.